RNAcentral lists this ribosomal RNA (497 nucleotides) under uncultured bacterium. Its description in RNAcentral is "partial 16S ribosomal RNA". It matches the Rfam family "Bacterial small subunit ribosomal RNA", at positions 28 to 507 of the family's 1533-position model. The record is from RNAcentral.
GAUGAACGCUGGCGGCGUGCCUAAUACAUGCAAGUCGAGCGAACGGACGAGAAGCUUGCUUCUCUGAUGUUAGCGGCGGACGGGUGAGUAACACGUGGAUAACCUACCUAUAAGACUGGGAUAACUUCGGGAAACCGGAGCUAAUACCGGAUAAUAUUUUGAACCGCAUGGUUCAAAAGUGAAAGACGGUCUUGCUGUCACUUAUAGAUGGAUCCGCGCUGCAUUAGCUAGUUGGUAAGGUAACGGCUUACCAAGGCAACGAUGCAUAGCCGAACUGAGAGGGUGAUCGGCGGCACUAGAGCGGGUACGCCGUCAAGGCUCCUACGGGAGGCAGCAGUAGGGAAUGGUACGCAACGGUCGGAAGCCUGACGGAACAGCGGCACGUGUGUGGUAGAGAUCUUCGGAGCGUAAUACUCUGUUAUUAGUUAAAAACAUCUGUGGAAGGAAAUGUGGAGAACUUGACGGUACCUAGUCAGAAAGCCACGGCUAACUACGUG